RNAcentral lists this ribosomal RNA (497 nucleotides) under uncultured bacterium. RNAcentral's name for it is "partial 16S ribosomal RNA". It matches the Rfam family "Bacterial small subunit ribosomal RNA", at positions 28 to 507 of the family's 1533-position model. The record is from RNAcentral.
GAUGAACGCUGGCGGCGUGCCUAAUACAUGCAAGUAGAACGCUGAAGCUUGGUGCUUGCACCGAGCGGAUGAGUUGCGAACGGGUGAGUAACGCGUAGGUAACCUGCCUCUUAGCGGGGGAUAACUAUUGGAAACGAUAGCUAAUACCGCAUAAAAGUCGAUAUCGCAUGAUAUUGAUUUGAAAGGUGCAAAUGCAUCACUAAGAGAUGGACCUGCGUUGUAUUAGCUAGUUGGUGAGGUAACGGCUCACCAAGGCGACGAUACAUAGCCGACCUGAGAGGGUGAUCGGCCACACCGGGACUGAGACACGGCCCAGACUCCUACGGGAGGCAGCAGUAGGGAAUCUUCGGCAAUAGGGGCAACCCUGACCGAGCAACGCCGCGGGAGUGAAGAAGGUUUUCGGAUCGUAAAGCUCUGUUGUAAGAGAAGAACGAGUGUGAGAGUGGAAAGUUCACACUGUGACGGUAACUUACCAGAAAGGGACGGCUAACUACGUG